This 467-nucleotide ribosomal RNA is filed under the name uncultured bacterium. RNAcentral describes it as "partial 16S ribosomal RNA". It matches the Rfam family "Bacterial small subunit ribosomal RNA", at positions 28 to 507 of the family's 1533-position model. The record is from RNAcentral.
GAUGAACGCUGGCGGCGUGCUUAACACAUGCAAGUCGAACGGAAAGGCCCAAGCUUGCUUGGGUACUCGAGUGGCGAACGGGUGAGUAACACGUGGGUGAUCUGCCCUGCACUUCGGGAUAAGCCUGGGAAACUGGGUCUAAUACCGGAUAGGACCACUUCUUGGAUGUUGUGGUGGAAAGUUUUUUCGGUGUGGGAUGGGCUCGCGGCCUAUCAGCUUGUUGGUGGGGUAAUGGCCUACCAAGGCGUCGACGGGUAGCCGGCCUGAGAGGGUGUACGGCCACAUUGGGACUGAGAUACGGCCCAGACUCCUACGGGAGGCAGCAGUGGGGAAUAUUGCACAAUGGGCGCAAGCCUGAUGCAGCGACGCCGCGUGGGGGAUGACGGCCUUCGGGUUGGAAACUCCUUUCGCUAGGGACGAAGCGUUUUGUGACGGUAUCUGGAGAAGAAGCACCGGCUAACUACGUG